Non-coding RNA from Panaeolus papilionaceus, 86 nucleotides. The record is from the annotation of a GenBank genome assembly. Lineage: Eukaryota; Fungi; Basidiomycota; Agaricomycetes; Agaricales.
UCGGAUAUGGUGUAACGGCUAACAUUGCCGCCUCUCAUCCCUGAAUGUUAUCGCGGCAGCUCGGGGUUCGAUUCCCCGUAUCCGAA